Molecule: long non-coding RNA, 592 nt
Organism: Oreochromis aureus
Lineage: Eukaryota; Metazoa; Chordata; Actinopteri; Cichliformes; Cichlidae
Source: Ensembl
GACAAAAGUAACAAAUGAGCUUUAUUAUUGCCAUUGUGGCUCAGUUUUAACAGUAAGAGUGUUAGGGCUAGCAGCAAUGCUAACACUAACUGAAGUGCUAACGUUAGCAGGAAUGCUAGCGCUAGCAGCAAUGCUAAGACUGGUAAAAGUCUAACAGGAGCCUUACAUAAGUGGAAAUACUUCAGUUAAAUAGUUUGAAUUAUAAAAUGGCUGCUGUAUCAGCUGGUGUGCUAUAUUACUCUAUAAUUACCCUGCUGACUAUAAGUUCAGUGUAUCAUGUCGUGUGGGUUUUGUAUUUCUGUUAGUCUGAUAACACUGUACAGACAACUAACAUAUUGUUUCUCGUCUUACACUUUCAGGAACUUGACUCACAUCUGUGCUUUGCCUGUGUGCAGAAGAAGAACAAGGACCAGAUCUCCAGUCUUCUCUCUCACAUCCCAACCCCCCAACCCCUCUAUCCUCUGUACUGCUCCACCUGUUGUCUCUGCCUUCUUUCCAUCUGUAUUUCACCCUGUGGUUUGUGAGAAAUUUUGCCAAACCAAGAAUCUUAUUGCGGUUUGAUUUCAAAACCGUGUCUCUCCUGCUCUGUCUG